This is a non-coding RNA of Cinara cedri, 205 nucleotides long. NCBI's taxonomy places the organism in Eukaryota, Metazoa, Arthropoda, Insecta, Hemiptera, Aphididae. The record is from the annotation of a GenBank genome assembly.
UAGCGCGUAUUUAAUAGCUCAAUUAUUUACAGAAUGUGACAGUAUAUUCUCUAUGCAAUAGUUCUGUUUUUCUCUUUUUAUACACUUAGAAUUUCGGAAUUUGUUAAUUUUGUUUGGAAUUUUCUUUUCAUAUAAAAUAAGAUUCGGGUGUACCAACCAUUAAACUGUGUACUCUCUUAUAUUUUUGUUUGCGUUUUGAUUUUCU